Molecule: long non-coding RNA, 277 nt
Filed under: Equus asinus (donkey)
Lineage: Eukaryota; Metazoa; Chordata; Mammalia; Perissodactyla; Equidae
Description: lncRNA (ENSEASG00005029354.1)
Source: RNAcentral
UAGUGGAAGCAAAACCCCGGUAGGAGUAUAUUCAGCAGAGAGUUGGAGGAAAGGAACUGGAGACCCUGAAUCUAGAAAACACUUCCAAGGAGCUUUGCUGUAAGGAAGAGGGCCGACCCUUCUCAGUUCCUCCAUCCUGCCGCCUAGACCAUUGUGUCAUUCCUGGAGCACCAGCAUUUGUCUUGCAACAUGAGAAUUAGAGCGACAUCCUAAAGAUGGUGGAAUAGAAUGUUAGAAGGGGUCUGGGUCUCUGACAACUUGAUAAAUACCAUUACAG